This 433-nucleotide ribosomal RNA is filed under the name uncultured bacterium. RNAcentral's name for it is "partial 16S ribosomal RNA". It matches the Rfam family "Bacterial small subunit ribosomal RNA", at positions 29 to 507 of the family's 1533-position model. The record is from RNAcentral.
AACGAACGCUGGCGGCAGGCCUAACACAUGCAAGUCGAGCGCGCCCUUCGGGGUGAGCGGCGGACGGGUGAGUAACGCGUGGGAACGUGCCCUUUUCUACGGAAUAGCCUCGGGAAACUGAGAGUAAUACCGUAUACGCCCUUUGGGGGAAAGAUUUAUCGGAAAAGGAUCGGCCCGCGUUGGAUUAGGUAGUUGGUGGGGUAAUGGCCUACCAAGCCGACGAUCCAUAGCUGGUUUGAGAGGAUGAUCAGCCACACUGGGACUGAGACACGGCCCAGACUCCUACGGGAGGCAGCAGUGGGGAAUCUUAGACAAUGGGGGCAACCCUGAUCGAGCCAUGCCGCGUGAGUGAUGAGGGCCUUAGGGUUGUAAAGCUCUUUCAGCUGGGAAGAUAAUGACGGUACCAGCAGAAGAAGCCCCGGCUAACUCCGUG